CUUAUGAUAAGGGCUGGGGAAAAAGACAGUCUUUGGACUUGUGGGAAGCCUUUACCAGCUUCCAUGAGCAGGUCUGAUGGAAGAAGGCAAAAUGGCACUGUUGUAUUUCCUCUGUGCAAGAUGAAAAGCCUGGGGAAUCCCAUUCAGCAGCAGCUGUGUGAACCUAAAGUGCAUCCAUCUGAAGCUCUUGCCAAACUUCUGCCAUCCUACACUGAAAGCUUCACACUGGAUAGAGGAGAUGAUAUUUAGGAAGGAGAUAUCUAUAUGUGUUAAUAAGAGGAAACUGCGGAGCACUAAUGGAACUGUCAAGAGGAAAAACACCAGCAGACCACAUGAAACCUAGCAGAAGGUCCCCUGGCAGAGCUGCAGGAGCAAAGGCUCAGAACAGGCACCAGGGAAGGGAAGGCAGAGAUUCGUAUGCAACCGCGAGCCCUUUGCCCAGGUGUGGAGAGAGGGUAGGAAGGAAGAGAAUGGGGGAAGGAGACUGUAUGACCAAUUGCAUCCUUAUGAAGUUCCAGUACAUGUAUUUAUUUUUACAUGUACAUAGGUUCCUUGUAAUUGGUAUUCAGCAAGGUCUGCAACUGAGAUGUGUGUCAGGUGGAGCUGCCAGGAAGUCUUUGCUGAAAGGGUUGGAGGUGCUUUUAUGACUCUCAGAUAGAAAUCCAAGCUCGAGAUACAAAACUAUUAUUCAUCAUAAAAUAUUGCUAACACUGAAGAACAUUCUCAAGCAUUUCACUGGAUUUUAUGCUGGAGUGAAGGAAAUGAACUGUUCAGGGGUUGUGUAAUUGUUAUUAAAAGGUUCUUCAACAUACAUAAAAAUUAUACCUGAGCUGAAACUGUUCAUUAAAGAUGAGUGAAAACUACUGAAGUGGGCUGUUCUUUUUCCCCUGGAUAUCACUACAGGCCUUCUUAAUAUAUUACACAGAUACUAAUUUGUUUGCCUUGGAGGUCUGUGAUAAUUCGUCAGUGAAGUGAGUUUCCAGAGAAAAUGGAAAAUAGGAAUAAAUGAGAAGAGAAGAAUAAUGAGAUUUGCUGG
This 1036-nucleotide long non-coding RNA is filed under the name Anser brachyrhynchus (Pink-footed goose). Its description in RNAcentral is "lncRNA (ENSABRG00000008074.1)". Lineage: Eukaryota; Metazoa; Chordata; Aves; Anseriformes; Anatidae. The record is from RNAcentral.